Molecule: ribosomal RNA, 473 nt
Filed under: uncultured organism
Description: partial 16S ribosomal RNA
Rfam family: Bacterial small subunit ribosomal RNA
Source: RNAcentral
UACACUCCUGCGGGAGGCAGCAGUGGGGAAUUUUGGACAAUGGGCGAAAGCCUGAUCCAGCAAUGCCGCGUGAGUGAAGAAGGCCUUCGGGUUGUAAAGCUCUUUUGUCAGGGAAGAAACGGUGAAAGCUAAUAUCUUUUGCUAAUGACGGUACCUGAAGAAUAAGCACCGGCUAACUACGUGCCAGCAGCCGCGGUAAUACGUAGGGUGCAAGCGUUAAUCGGAAUUACUGGGCGUAAAGCGUGCGCAGGCGGUUUUGUAAGUCUGAUGUGAAAUCCCCGGGCUCAACCUGGGAAUUGCAUUGGAGGCUGCAAGGCUAGAAUCUGGCAGAGGGGGGUAGAAUUCCACGUGUAGCAGUGAAAUGCGUAGAUAUGUGGAGGAACACCGAUGGCGAAGGCAGCCCCCUGGGUCAAGAUUGACGCUCAUGCACGAAAGCGUGGGGAGCAAACAGGAUUAGAUACCCUGGUAGUCCC